CACGUAGUUAGCCGGCGCUUUUUCUGCAGGUACCGUCACUUUCGCUUCUUCCCUGCUAAAAGAGGUUUACAACCCGAAGGCCGUCGUCCCUCACGCGGCGUUGCUGCAUCAGGCUUGCGCCCAUUGUGCAAUAUUCCCCACUGCUGCCUCCCGUAGGAGUCUGGGCCGUGUCUCAGUCCCAGUGUGGCCGGUCACCCUCUCAGGCCGGCUACCCGUCGACGCCUUGGUGAGCCAUUACCUCACCAACAAGCUGAUAGGCCGCGAGCCCAUCCCCAACCGAAAUUCUUUCCAGACGCAGACCAUGCGGUCACGUCACAUAUCCAGUAUUAGACGCCGUUUCCAGCGCUUAUCCCAGAGUCAGGGGCAGGUUGCUCACGUGUUACUCACCCGUUCGCCACUGAUCCCACAGAGCAAGCUCCGUGUUCACCGUUCGACUUGCAUGUGUUAAGCACGCCGCCAGCGUUCAUCCUGAGCCAGGAUCAAACUC
Molecule: ribosomal RNA, 487 nt
Filed under: uncultured Microbacterium sp.
Lineage: Bacteria; Bacillati; Actinomycetota; Actinomycetes; Micrococcales; Microbacteriaceae
Description: partial 16S ribosomal RNA
Source: RNAcentral